RNAcentral lists this ribosomal RNA (605 nucleotides) under fungal endophyte. RNAcentral's name for it is "eukaryotic LSU rRNA". It matches the Rfam family "Eukaryotic large subunit ribosomal RNA", at positions 1 to 600 of the family's 3401-position model. Lineage: Eukaryota; Fungi. The record is from RNAcentral.
UUCACAAUUUUGACCUCGGAUCAGGUAGGGAUACCCGCUGAACUUAAGCAUAUCAAUAAGCGGAGGAAAAGAAACCAACAGGGAUUGCCCUAGUAACGGCGAGUGAAGCGGCAACAGCUCAAAUUUGAAAUCUGGCUCUUUCAGGGUCCGAGUUGUAAUUUGUAGAGGGUGCUUUGGAGUUGACUGUGGUCUAAGUUCCUUGGAACAGGACGUCGCAGAGGGUGAGAAUCCCGUAUGUGGCCGCCAGUCUUCGCCGUGUAAAGCCCCUUCGACGAGUCGAGUUGUUUGGGAAUGCAGCUCUAAAUGGGAGGUAAAUUUCUUCUAAAGCUAAAUAUUGGCCAGAGACCGAUAGCGCACAAGUAGAGUGAUCGAAAGAUGAAAAGCACUUUGGAAAGAGAGUCAAAAAGCACGUGAAAUUGUUGAAAGGGAAGCGCUUGCAGCCAGACUUGCCUGUAGUUGCUCAUCCGGGCUUUUGCCCGGUGCACUCUUCUAUGGGCAGGCCAGCAUCAGUCCUGGCGGUCGGAUAAAUGCCCGCUGAAUGUACCUCUCCUCGGGGAGGACUUAUAGCGGCGGGCGGCAUACGACCAGCCGGGAUUGAGGUCCGC